Molecule: long non-coding RNA, 1009 nt
Organism: Oryza brachyantha (malo sina)
Lineage: Eukaryota; Viridiplantae; Streptophyta; Magnoliopsida; Poales; Poaceae
Exons: 3
Source: RefSeq, a predicted model, not a curated record
UGUUCUGAUAUAACAUUUUCAGUUGCAAUAUCUUGCUGAAGAAAUUUAGAUGUGCAACAGAAGUUCCAUUGCACUUAUCUUGUUUGAAUCACUACCCACAAUUUCUGGAAUUUCAUCAAAGAAACAUAUACUUGGAGCCAAGGGGUGGAUAUAAUCAUUAGUUAUGGUGCCUCAGGCUGCUCCAUCUCAGGUACAACAUAUAAUUCUGCUUUAUUUCUUGUCCCCUGCUGCUUCACUCUCUUGUUGCCUGUUAUGAUUGUGAUCCAACGGAUAUGUAUAGCUAAGUUCUGUUCAUCCCUAAUGGAAGUAAAUGAAACAUUGCUGUCUCAUCAUCAUUCAAUCUGAUGCAUUACCUCUAAUGUGUGUGUGUGGUCUCUUGGCCCUUUCAGCUGGUUGCCUGGUUUGCUUCACCCUCCGAACGUAACUCCAACGUGACUCCAGGUCAGUACAUUUACCUACUCCUGUGGCUGUGGUUGUGACGUUUUUAUUCAGGAACUAGCAUGGGAAUCAAUGUACCACCUAUGGGAUUGAUUGCGAGGUACUAUGAAGCAACCAUUGACAUUGAAGCACACAAUGCGAGCUGACAAGCUGUAUACCAAAGCAAUACCGAUACGGUGGUUGUUGUUGGCAUGUCCUUCUCUUUCUAUAUGCCAAAACGGGUGACGAUCAGCUAGCUGUAUGGAACACCUGUCGAUCAAAGCAAAGUUUAUUUUGCAGACAUCCUUUUCCAAAGCCUCUUUGUUCAGGAUGAAAGAGACAUAUUCAUACAGCAUGGAAAUGAAAACUGAAAAGGGUCUCUCACCGACCGUUAGCAGAUCCACUGUGUGGGGUUGUUGGAUCCGCACGGACCAAAACCGAAUGAGUACACAUAGAGCUAUACAUGAUAAAUGUGUCCUCAAGGACCACAUGUCUGUCUGUCUGUCAAAGCAUGGUUUAAUAAUACUCUGUACGAAUGUAUAUGGGAUUACUGGUGACUGAACAUCCUUAAUGAGAUUGGACUAUUUUGUUG